GACAAGCAAAAUUUGCUUUCUAUUUCUUUCCAUUCUCUCUCUUUCUAUCUUUUCGCCUUCACUCUCCAUCAGUCUCUGUUUCUCUCUCUUUCUCUAAUAAGCAGAGGUUUGCUGCUGAGGGCAGGCAGGGCAGUGCAGAUGAAAGAAAAGAGAAGACAAGCACUCAGAGAGAAAGACAGCAAGAAAGAGAGCAGCGAGUGUUCUCUCUCCCAUCUGCCUGGUUACCUGCACUCUUGCCUGAUUACUGACGCACCUGCCUUCCAUCAGCUCAUCAACCCAGAAGUACUUCAAACCUGGUCAUUCAUCUACUCAUCAUCAUUGUUCCUACCAGCUUGACUCUCAGUCAGCCAUGCUCAUAGCCAGCCACUCUGUGCUCUGGCCCUGUAUGCCUGCUACUCUGCAUUACCUGCUCUGCUCUGGCCAUUCCCGUUUUCCCGUUCCAUCACCCUGUCUCCAUAUCCAU
Molecule: long non-coding RNA, 463 nt
Organism: Siniperca chuatsi (mandarin fish)
Lineage: Eukaryota; Metazoa; Chordata; Actinopteri; Centrarchiformes; Sinipercidae
Exons: 3
Source: RefSeq, a predicted model, not a curated record